RNAcentral lists this signal recognition particle RNA (299 nucleotides) under Cebus imitator (Panamanian white-faced capuchin). RNAcentral describes it as "Metazoan signal recognition particle RNA (ENSCCAG00000011695.1)". It matches the Rfam family "Metazoan signal recognition particle RNA". Rfam says of the family: The signal recognition particle (SRP) is a universally conserved ribonucleoprotein. It is involved in the co-translational targeting of proteins to membranes. Lineage: Eukaryota; Metazoa; Chordata; Mammalia; Primates; Cebidae. The record is from RNAcentral.
GCCAGGUGCAGUGGCCCAUGCCUGUAGUCCCAGCUACACGGGAGGCUGAGGUGGGAGGAUCGCUUGAGCCCAGGAGUUCUGGGCUGUAGUGCACUAUGCCGAUCGGGUGUCCGCACUAAGUUCGGCAUCAGUAUGAUGACCUCCCAGGAGCGGGAGACCACCAUGUUGCCUAAAGAGCGGUGAACUGGCCCAGGUUGGAAACGGAGCAGGUCAAAACUCCCAUGCUGAUCAGUAGUGGGAUCGGGCCUGUGAAUAGCCACUGCACUCCAGCCUGGGCAACAUAGCGAGACCCUGUCUCU